This 942-nucleotide long non-coding RNA is filed under the name Aotus nancymaae (Ma's night monkey). Its description in RNAcentral is "lncRNA (ENSANAG00000039404.1)". The record is from RNAcentral. Lineage: Eukaryota; Metazoa; Chordata; Mammalia; Primates; Aotidae.
GAGAUGAUUGCUUAAUUAAUCUGUGUAUUGUGCUAAUGAGGAUGUUAAAUGGGUUCAUCCCUGAAUUUGAUUGUUCACAAAGAAUGUGAAUUUCCUAAAGGGCAAAUAUAGACAGAUUUUCUAUUAACAUGAACCAUCCAACCAAGAAGCUCUUUUAGUCAUUUUGAAGUUUAAAAGGGUAGCAGAUAAUUUCAAAAUAGCUUCAUGACAUUUCUAGUGGCUACAUGUGAGAUAUUAUUACCAUAUCUCCUGAAGCUGUUUGCCAGUUCCUUUGGGAAAGAAUUUUAUAUUACAAUUCUUAAAUAGAUACUGACUUUUAUUUUCUAUCAAGACUCCUCAGGGUGCAGCAUAAAUUAAACUUGUGGCACUUAUCUUUCACAAGCAGACUUUGGAGGGGUUGGGAAAUAGCAGAUGCCAAUAGUGUCAUCGUUCAGUCAAGAAUCCAUUAUGUUAAAAAACAUUCCAUACAGGUCAGCCAUGGUUGUGCAUGCCUGUAGUCCCAGCUAUUUGGAAGACCAAGGUGGGAGGAUCACUUCAGCCCAGGAAUUUGAGGCUGCAAAGAGCUAUGAUGGUGCCACUGCAUGCCAGCCUAAGUGACACAGCAAGACCUUGUCUCUAAAAUAAAUAAAUAAAUUCAUCCCAAAUGCAAUAUCAUUAAGCCAGAAGAAGAUAAUAGGGAUGGAUGGGGGAGUUGCAUGUGUGUGUUUAAAGAUCCCAGCAUACACAGAGGAAAGAAACUGGGCCCCUACCUGUUUGCCUAUCAGCCUCCUGGCGGGUAAGGAAUGUGAGGAGACAGUAUCUGGCAGUGGCGAAAGACAGAUCAUUUCCUACAAAUCCUGGAGGUGUUCGUUCACGUCCCUGUCUGGACCCAAGAUGGCGACUGGCGUUCUUCCGACUUCAGCCACGCAUGGAUCAUACCCAGCCACCAGUGACCACGCGUGA